Molecule: unclassified non-coding RNA, 138 nt
Organism: Cricetulus griseus (Chinese hamster)
Lineage: Eukaryota; Metazoa; Chordata; Mammalia; Rodentia; Cricetidae
Product: predicted gene, 27957
Source: Ensembl
AAAUCUGUUCAGCAUUGAUACUAACACCCCUUUCCUUUUCUUUCAUAUUCCAGCACGCCUGUUAAGCAUUGCAGAAGGACUUGAGAGUCAUCCUUUCCUAAGAUAAAGCUGGAGUAUUUGGGGAUUUGGAAAAUCGAG